Non-coding RNA from Phrynosoma platyrhinos (Desert horned lizard), 72 nucleotides. Lineage: Eukaryota; Metazoa; Chordata; Lepidosauria; Squamata; Phrynosomatidae. The record is from the annotation of a GenBank genome assembly.
GCCAGCAUGGCUUAGUGGUUUGAGUGUUGGACUACGACUCCGGAGACCGAGGUUCAAUUCCCUGCUCGGCCA